Molecule: transfer RNA, 59 nt
Filed under: Casearia sylvestris subsp. myricoides
Lineage: Eukaryota; Viridiplantae; Streptophyta; Magnoliopsida; Malpighiales; Salicaceae
Source: RNAcentral
AAUUGAUAUAGACCCAAGUCAUUUAGUGAAAUGAGGAAGACGACGCGUUUGAAAUGGUC